UACGAGGGGGGCGAGCGUUGUUCGGAAUUAUUGGGCGUAAAGGGUGCGUAGGCGGUUUGGUAAGUCUUAUGUGAAAUCUACAGGCUCAACUUGUAGUCUGCAUGAGAAACUGCCGGGCUUGAGUUCGGAAGAGGGUCGUGGAAUUCCCAGUGUAGAGGUGAAAUUCGUAGAUAUUGGGAAGAACACCGGUGGCGAAGGCGGCGACCUGGUCCGACACUGACGCUGAGGCGCGAAAGCGUGGGGAGCAAACAGG
Molecule: ribosomal RNA, 253 nt
Filed under: uncultured bacterium
Lineage: Bacteria
Description: partial 16S ribosomal RNA
Rfam family: Bacterial small subunit ribosomal RNA
Source: RNAcentral